RNAcentral lists this ribosomal RNA (253 nucleotides) under uncultured bacterium. Its description in RNAcentral is "partial 16S ribosomal RNA". It matches the Rfam family "Bacterial small subunit ribosomal RNA", at positions 524 to 776 of the family's 1533-position model. The record is from RNAcentral.
UACGUAGGGUGCAAGCGUUGUCCGGAAUUAUUGGGCGUAAAGAGCUCGUAGGCGGUUUGUCGCGUCUGCUGUGAAAACUCGGGGCUCAACUCCGAGCUUGCAGUGGGUACGGGCAGACUAGAGUGCGGUAGGGGAGACUGGAAUUCCUGGUGUAGCGGUGGAAUGCGCAGAUAUCAGGAGGAACACCAGUGGCGAAGGCGGGUCUCUGGGCCGUAACUGACGCUGAGGAGCGAAAGCAUGGGGAGCGAACAGG